This 201-nucleotide ribosomal RNA is filed under the name uncultured bacterium. Its description in RNAcentral is "partial 16S ribosomal RNA". It matches the Rfam family "Bacterial small subunit ribosomal RNA", at positions 1300 to 1500 of the family's 1533-position model. The record is from RNAcentral.
GCAGUCUGCAACUCGAGNGCAUGAAGCUGGAAUCGCUAGUAAUCGCGGAUCAGAAUGCCGCGGUGAAUACGUUCCCGGGUCUUGUACACACCGCCCGUCACACCAUGGGAGUCGGGAAUGCCCGAAGCCGGUGGCCCAAUCGAAAGAAGGGAGCCGUCGAAGGCAGGCCGGAUGACUGGGGUGAAGUCGUAACAAGGUAGC